GUGCUCGCUUUGGCAGCACAUGUACUAAAACUGGAACAAUACAGAGAAGAUUAGCAUGGUCUCUGUGCAAGGAUGACACGGAAAUUAUGAUUGAAGAGUGAU
Small nuclear RNA from Artibeus jamaicensis (Jamaican fruit-eating bat), 102 nucleotides. The record is from RefSeq and is a predicted model, not a curated record. Lineage: Eukaryota; Metazoa; Chordata; Mammalia; Chiroptera; Phyllostomidae.